AGAGAGAGACAUGCGCGCAUAUCAAUAAGCGGAGGAAAAGAAACUAACAAGGAUUCCCUUAGUAACGGCGAGUGAAGCGGGAAGAGCUCAAAUUUGAAAUCUUCAAGGUUUUACCUUGACGAAUUGUAGUUUAAAGAAGUGUUUUCUGCUGAAGUUUUGGUAAAAGUUCUUUGGAAUAGGACAUCAUAGAGGGUGAGAAUCCCGUAUUUGACCAUUAUUUUCAGCUUUGUGAUACACUUUCAAAGAGUCGGAUUGUUUGGGAAUGCAGUCCAAAAUGGGUGGUAAAUUUCAUCUAAAGCUAAAUAUUGGCGAGAGACCGAUAGCGAACAAGUACCGUGAGGGAAAGAUGAAAAGAACUUUGAAAAGAGAGUUAAACAGUACGUGAAAUUGUCAAAAGGGAAGCGUUUGACACCAGUGUUGUUUUCUCGAAAAUCAAUUAAAAAUGGCUCGAUUUUGUAUUGUUGAGACCUUAAAAGCUCACUGUACAUUUUUCGUGUCUUUUUUAAUGCACUUUUCGUUAACAAGUCAACAUCAGUUUCUUUUGUUGUAAAAGGGUCAUUGGAAGGUGGCUUUCUUUUCGGAGAAAGUGUUUAUAGCCUUUGGCCUCUGCAAUCGGAGAGACUGAGGUCUGCAGCGUAGACUCUUCGGGGUUAGAUACAUUUGUGCUAAGUUAUAGCUUUUUAUAGACAACUUGUUGACUAUAAUUAGUCUUGUAGCUUACUCGCUUAUGCUAUUUUACCUACGCUUAGGAUGUUGAGUCGUAGAGCACGCAG
This 773-nucleotide ribosomal RNA is filed under the name uncultured Neocallimastigales. RNAcentral's name for it is "partial large subunit ribosomal RNA". It matches the Rfam family "Eukaryotic large subunit ribosomal RNA", at positions 23 to 634 of the family's 3401-position model. Lineage: Eukaryota; Fungi; Neocallimastigomycota; Neocallimastigomycetes; Neocallimastigales. The record is from RNAcentral.